This 253-nucleotide ribosomal RNA is filed under the name uncultured bacterium. RNAcentral's name for it is "partial 16S ribosomal RNA". It matches the Rfam family "Bacterial small subunit ribosomal RNA", at positions 524 to 776 of the family's 1533-position model. The record is from RNAcentral.
GACGAACCGUCCAAACGUUAUUCGGUAUCACUGGGCUUAAAGCGUCCGUAGGCGGCCUAGUAGGUGAGAUGUGAAAGCCCACGGCUCAACCGUGGAACAGCGUUUCAAACCACUAGGCUCGAGGAUGGCAGGGGUAAUGGGAACUGAUGGUGGAGCGGUGAAAUGCGUUGAUAUCAUCAGGAACACCGGUGGCGAAAGCGCAUUACUGGGCCAUUUCUGACGCUGAGGAACGAAAGCUAGGGUAGCGAACGGG